AUUGAACGCUGGCGGCAGGCCUAACACAUGCAAGUCGAACGGUAACAGGAAGAAGCUUGCUUCUUUGCUGACGAGUGGCGGACGGGUGAGUAAUGUCUGGGAAACUGCCUGAUGGAGGGGGAUAACUACUGGAAACGGUAGCUAAUACCGCAUAACGUCGCAAGACCAAAAAGGGGGACCUUCGGGCCUCUUGCCAUCGGAUGUGCCCAGAUGGGAUUAGCUAGUAGGUGGGGUAACGGCUCACCUAGGCGACGAUCCCUAGCUGGUCUGAGAGGAUGACCAGCCACACUGGAACUGAGACACGGUCCAGACUCCUACGGGGGGCAGCAGUGGGGAAUAUUGCACAAUGGGCGCAAGCCUGAUGCAGCCAUGCCGCGUGUAUGAAGAAGGCCUUCGGGUUGUAAAGUACUUUCAGCGGGGAGGAAGGGAGUAAAGUUAAUACCUUUGCUCAUUGACGUUACCCGCAGAAGAAGCACCGGCUAACUCCGUG
Molecule: ribosomal RNA, 490 nt
Filed under: uncultured bacterium
Lineage: Bacteria
Description: partial 16S ribosomal RNA
Rfam family: Bacterial small subunit ribosomal RNA
Source: RNAcentral